CGCUCUUCCUUCUGAGACUCAGGCCGCCGUGCCCAGGGACGAGCCCUUCCCCUCCCGGAGCAACUUCCUGCGGUUGGAGAACACUCUAGAGAGCCCUGGAGACCGCUGGUCUCCACCCAGGCUCCGGCUCCACUCUCAAGUUGCAGGGAGUGGCUUGAAGCAUCAGCAGGCUGUGCCUUCUGCCCGGGGACAGCAGGGAGGGUCAGGGCAGCUGUGCUGGCCGUCAGGAGUCGGGGUGGUCCGGGCCUGCGUCCCAGGGGAUGACGGCGGAGCACCGCACAUAGCUGGUCUCUGUUUGAUCCGAAUCCACACCCCGGGGGUUGGAACGCCCAGCUGCAUGUCACCUCACAGCGACAUCAGGCAGAAAGAAUUCAAACGCUGUCCCUGCCAGUCAGCCGGUGCCUCUACCCUCUGUGAGGAAAGCCGAGACGGCAUUCACUUCAACUCGGAUGGAAUUUCUCUCCAGUCCUGAUUUUCUGGGGCUCGUCUGCGGAGAUGAUGGCCUGGCCAGAGGGAGAAGGCGGACAGCGCCCCAGAGCACUUUAGUUUUGUGGGGCUAACUGGUAAGAUGGGUCUGACCUCUGCCACUUUUGUCUCAGGGGCAGUCUGAGUUUUAGUGGUCACUUUUUUUUUUUUUUUUCCUGUACCAGGAAUCGAGCUCACAACCUCGCGCUUGCCAGGCAGGCAUUGUGCUGCUGAGCUAAAUCCCCAGCCCCUAGUGGUCACUUCUGCAAUCAGGGCAUGGCGUAGGGGACCUCUUGUCAUGUUGGUUUUUACUGUAGUCUUUUUAAAGGUGGCCUGGCUUUUUGUAGUGGUGAGUUUAGUCAUUCAGCUUUUUGGGAGCCCCAAGAAUCAGACACAGAGUUUAAUUGUUUAAGGUUGUAACUGAGGCAGCCACUUGUUCUUGGUCUUUUUUUUUUUUUUUUUCUCUUUGGUCUAUUUUUGGUCUUGAUUAUAAACUGUGGAGACAUCAAUUUUUAUUAAAGUAUUGAUUGAGCUAUUUGGAGUAAAAACCAUCUUCUGUAGCUUUUUUUAAAUGUUGGAGGCUGACUGGGUAAUAAACUUGUUUUUAACAAUAACGUGUCUUUUUAUUGAAUCAGGAGCUAGAGACGUAUGAUUUAUCAGUGUCUCUUAUAAAUGAUCUAAGAAGACAGAGAGGUUUUUGUCUUUUUUUAAUGAAUAGUUGACAAUUUAAAAUAACUGAAGACUUUGUUUUUAUCUUUCUUUAGAUGUUUGGUUGAGAUAGGUCAGUAGCCAUCCUGUGCAGGGACUCUUGGGCUGUAGUAGGAGCUGGCUGUUUUGUCUUUGUUUUUGUUUUUUGCCUGUCUCACUUUGGGCCUUUUAAAAUUAACAA
This 1354-nucleotide long non-coding RNA is filed under the name Chinchilla lanigera (long-tailed chinchilla). RNAcentral describes it as "lncRNA (ENSCLAG00000026668.1)". The record is from RNAcentral. Lineage: Eukaryota; Metazoa; Chordata; Mammalia; Rodentia; Chinchillidae.